CAGAAUGAACCUAUACUCUACAUAUCGCCAACCUCAUAAUACUUAUGAAUUGAGAUUCAUGUUUUUGGAAAAUAACACAAAUUAUUUGACUGUGACCAUGCUGGAGCACCACCUUUAGUCGAGCAAAUCGACCCCAGGACUUAUUCUUUGGAGCACAUAUUGUCUUUUACACAGACUUCCAAAAUUACAUCGUGUCCAUUUCGGUAUUAAGAAGAAUCACACAUUUUGUAUGGAGGGCAGCAUUUAGUUAGUAAUGGAAAGGAAUUCUAUACAUAGGUCCUCUGGUAGUAAUUGAAGGAUAUAUUUAUUUGCCAUUGUGAACGAUGACAUUAUUCUAAUUGAUAAAAUAUAAUUCAAUAUUACUGCAAGCCGAAGUAAAUUUGCCUAAAAACAAAUAAAACACUAU
This is a long non-coding RNA of Octopus bimaculoides (California two-spot octopus), 406 nucleotides long. The record is from RefSeq and is a predicted model, not a curated record. NCBI's taxonomy places the organism in Eukaryota, Metazoa, Mollusca, Cephalopoda, Octopoda, Octopodidae.